GAUCAUCGGCGCAACUUUCAAUUGUCAAAACUUUAUGACAGGCACACUCGAUGAACUUUGAGAGAAGUACUCAGAAGACGAUUUAAAUUGGGUGCCUUUCGACAUCUUUGAUCUCCACUUCUUAUUUGGACUUCGUCCAUAGUCGACGAGUCUGAGGAAAUGUGGGCUUAAUGAAAAAAACGAAAAACAGUGACGACUGCAUCAAUUCUUUUUAGGAACAUUACUUUUUUAAGAAUGUGUUACUAAUAAACGCGAUGCUGUAUAUAUGUUGCACAAUAUUUGUGAUAAAAGUUCCGUUAUAGAAUGUGAAUUGUAUUCCAUACAUUACACGAAUAAAAAAAAUGUGAAUAUUAAAAAAUAAAUAUUAAUAAAUA
Molecule: long non-coding RNA, 374 nt
Organism: Atta colombica
Lineage: Eukaryota; Metazoa; Arthropoda; Insecta; Hymenoptera; Formicidae
Exons: 2
Source: RefSeq, a predicted model, not a curated record